This 1119-nucleotide long non-coding RNA is filed under the name Rattus norvegicus (Norway rat). RNAcentral's name for it is "long non-coding RNA NONRATT021349". Lineage: Eukaryota; Metazoa; Chordata; Mammalia; Rodentia; Muridae. The record is from RNAcentral.
ACCUUUGUUGCGUUCUAGAUAUUUUAUGCAGCUUUGAACAGUGGAGUUGGUAGGAGUUCUCUUCCUACUGAGAAACUCUGAAGCCAUGGAUGUUAGAGACCAGUCAGGUCCAGGAUGGGACAGAGUAGCACGGUAUGAAUUGUUUGAUUCUGAUGUGAGUCCUAGCUGGCCCCUCAUCCACAUCACCAGGUACAAAGAGGUCUCUGGUCAGCAGUCCAGCAUCCUCCAGUCCCCCUCCUUUUUCUCCCUCUUUAGACCCUGAUCAAUCUACUGUGAAAGACUCUCCUCCUGAUACCUGUCCUCCUUCUGUAACGAAGCUUACUUAGCUUUUAGCUGUGAAAAACUCUGGGAACUUCCCCACCCAUUAAUUCUUAUAAAGUCAAGUCCCCAAACUGGAUGUGUCUCAGUGCACCUUGGGCCAAAAAAAAAGGAUACGCUAAGACUUGGGCGUGGUCUGACCACUGCAGCCCAGGACUUCCUGGGAGUGGACUGAAUGAUGCCAGCUAUGGUAGGGAGUUCCGAAUCUCUCAUCCUGGUCAGAACCAGCUCUGGCUGGAAGUGAGAUAGCUGGAAAACUGUCCAAGACAGUUGGGAGAGGGAUAAGGAGCUUUUGGAGCCUCUGAGCCAGAGGCUGCUAGAGCCCCAGCAGCAUGGAAAUUUGGCUGUCACAGAAGCUUCCAGCGGCUAGAUGGCAGCAUUUCCCACAGGACUGGCUCUCUCUCAACUGAGGGUGGGCCUAGACUUGCCCUGCUGUGCUGCAGCACUCUCUAGAGCUGGGAGGGCCGUCCUUGUCUGUCAUCUCUUGUCUGCUCACGUUGAAGCUUCUCAUUCUUCCACAGGUCCUUCCCCUUCUCUUCCAGGUCAGGAAUGAGUGUCCCUUGCUGCUCAUAAAGUUAGUGUUGUAUGAUUACUUGUAUUAUUGCCACUGUAAUUAUGAUUACUAUCUCCUCAUUGUUAUUCUAGUCAGGGUUUGAAGUAUACAUUUAUUCCAAGUAUCUCUGUGUUUUCUUCAUAAUAUUUAAAUUUAUUUUAUUCUAGCUGUGUGUAUAUACGUAGACUGGAGGGACAUAUAGAUUAGAUGUCCAACCUUGUCAGAGGAAAGAAAAGGAAAAUGAAAAA